Molecule: long non-coding RNA, 745 nt
Organism: Monomorium pharaonis (pharaoh ant)
Lineage: Eukaryota; Metazoa; Arthropoda; Insecta; Hymenoptera; Formicidae
Exons: 2
Source: RefSeq, a predicted model, not a curated record
CUGGUUUAGCCUGGAGGAACAGUCGUUUUAUACUUCUUAUCAGAUCGUAUCAAUGCAAUGGUGGUAGUGAUGACAUAAAAAAAAAGAAGAAAUAAAAUUAAAAAGGGCACUGUCACGUUAAAUGACACUAAAAAUUUAUAUAAGGGAUGCUAUCAAUUUCUGUACUAUCGUAAAUUGCGUCCAGUGAUUGAAUAAUUCAGAUCGCCGGUUCUCGUGAGCGCAUCUUCUAUUCAUGUAUAGUACAUCAAUAUUGUCUAACUUUCAAGAUUUGUUUUCUCAAGAUCACUCAAGAUUGACAUUCUACAAAAUAAAUUAAAACAAAUGACAUCGUGAAAUUCAACUAAGGUGUGAAGAUAAAAGGGGAUAAAUGUGACAUGUACAGCAUAAAACAUAACACAGGCUAAGGUAUAAUUGUGACAUGUAAUUAUAUUCAUGUAAGUCAAAUGGAUAGAAUUUAGAAAGAACUAUACUUACUACUGUUUUUAUACAUAAAAAAAAAAUAUUUUUUAAAGAAAUCAAUUUACAUUCCAUACAGGAUAUGUACGUCUUUCAAAUAUAUUUUAAUCUUCCAGUGAGGGUUGAAACAAUUAAAGAAAAUGUAUAUAAAAAUAUAUAUAUGUUAUAAUAAGUACACUUAAUUUGUAUUAGUUUUGUAUUGAAAUUCAUUGUAGAAAGCAUUAUAUCUUUUAGUUUACUUUUUUUAUUAAACAUUGAUAUUUAAAAAUAUAUAUGUAGUACAAAAAAA